UACAGAGGGUGCGAGCGUUGUCCGGAAUCACUGGGCGUAAAGGGCGCGUAGGCGGCUAAUCAAGUCGGGGGUGAAAGCCUGUGGCUCAACCACAGAAUUGCCUUCGAUACUGUUUGGCUUGAGACCGGAAGAGGACAGCGGAACUGCGAGUGUAGAGGUGAAAUUCGUAGAUAUUCGCAAGAACACCAGUGGCGAAGGCGGCUGUCUGGUCCGGUUCUGACGCUGAGGCGCGAAAGCGUGGGGAGCAAACAGG
RNAcentral lists this ribosomal RNA (253 nucleotides) under uncultured bacterium. RNAcentral describes it as "partial 16S ribosomal RNA". It matches the Rfam family "Bacterial small subunit ribosomal RNA", at positions 524 to 776 of the family's 1533-position model. The record is from RNAcentral.